GAUGAACGCUGGCGGCGUGCCUAAUACAUGCAAGUCGAGCGAACAGACGAGGAGCUUGCUCCUCUGACGUUAGCGGCGGAUGGGUGAGUAACACGUGGAUAACCUACCUAUAAGACUGGGAUAACUUCGGGAAACCGGAGCUAAUACCGGAUAAUAUAUUGAACCGCAUGGUUCAAUAGUGAAAGACGGUUUUGCUGUCACUUAUAGAUGGAUCCGCGCCGCAUUAGCUAGUUGGUAAGGUAACGGCUUACCAAGGCAACGAUGCGUAGCCGACCUGAGAGGGUGAUCGGCCACACUGGAACUGAGACACGGUCCAGACUCCUACGGGAGGCAGCAGUAGGGAAUCUUCCGCAAUGGGCGAAAGCCUGACGGAGCAACGCCGCGUGAGUGAUGAAGGUCCUCGGAUCGUAAAACUCUGUUAUUAGGGAAGAACAAAUGUGUAAGUAACUAUGCACGUCUUGACGGUACCUAAUCAGAAAGCCACGGCUAACUACGUG
Molecule: ribosomal RNA, 497 nt
Filed under: uncultured bacterium
Lineage: Bacteria
Description: partial 16S ribosomal RNA
Rfam family: Bacterial small subunit ribosomal RNA
Source: RNAcentral